RNAcentral lists this ribosomal RNA (253 nucleotides) under uncultured bacterium. Its description in RNAcentral is "partial 16S ribosomal RNA". It matches the Rfam family "Bacterial small subunit ribosomal RNA", at positions 524 to 776 of the family's 1533-position model. The record is from RNAcentral.
UACGUAGGGGGCUAGCGUUGUCCGGAAUCACUGGGCAUAAAGAGCGCGUAGGCGGUCUGAUAAGUCAGGUGUGAAAUCCCCCGGCUCGACCGGGGAACUGCACCUGAUACUGUUGGGCUUGAGUGCUGGAGAGGAAGGCGGAAUUCUCGGUGUAGAGGUGAAAUUCGUAGAUAUCGAGAGGAACACCGGUGGCGAAGGCGGCGACCUGGGUAGAUACUGACGCUGGGGCGCGAAAGCGUGGGGAGCAAACAGG